Non-coding RNA from Salmo salar (Atlantic salmon), 54 nucleotides. Lineage: Eukaryota; Metazoa; Chordata; Actinopteri; Salmoniformes; Salmonidae. The record is from Rfam.
UGCAUUCACUACUGUAAGUCGCUCUGGAUAAGAGCGUCUGCUAAAUGACGUAAC